Molecule: ribosomal RNA, 494 nt
Filed under: uncultured bacterium
Lineage: Bacteria
Description: partial 16S ribosomal RNA
Rfam family: Bacterial small subunit ribosomal RNA
Source: RNAcentral
AUUGAACGCUGGCGGCAUGCUUUACACAUGCAAGUCGAACGGUAGGGUAGCAAUACCUGAGAGUGGCGAACGGGUGAGUAAUGCAUCGGAACAUGCCUAUUUGUGGGGGAUAGCCCGGCGAAAGCCGGAUUAAUACCGCAUACGAUCUACGGAUGAAAGCUGGGGACCGCAAGGCCUAGCGCAAAUAGAGUGGCCGAUGUCAGAUUAGCUAGUUGGUGGGGUAAAGGCUCACCAAGGCAACGAUCUGUAGCUGGUUUGAGAGAACGACCAGCCACACUGGGACUGAGACACGGCCCAGACUCCUACGGGAGGCAGCAGUGGGGAAUUUUGGACAAUGGGCGCAAGCCUGAUCCAGCAAUGCCGCGUGCAGGAUGAAGGCCUUCGGGUUGUAAACUGCUUUUGUACGGAACGAAACGGCUCUGGUUAAUACCCGGGGCUAAUGACGGUACCGUAAGAAUAAGCACCGGCUAACUACGUGCCAGCCGCCGCAGUAA